Cordylochernes scorpioides is the source of this 73-nucleotide non-coding RNA. The record is from the annotation of a GenBank genome assembly. Lineage: Eukaryota; Metazoa; Arthropoda; Arachnida; Pseudoscorpiones; Chernetidae.
GACGGAAUAGCUUAGUUAUGAAAGCGUUAGAUUGAAGGUCUAAACGUCCCAGGUUUGAACCCACGUUUCGUUA